Molecule: transfer RNA, 67 nt
Filed under: Scirtes sp. 2 ACP-2013
Lineage: Eukaryota; Metazoa; Arthropoda; Insecta; Coleoptera; Scirtidae
Description: tRNA-Ser
Source: RNAcentral
AGAAAUAAGUGUUAUCAAGAGAAAGCUUCUAACUUUACCUUAAGCGGUUUAAUCCCGUUUUUAUUUC